Molecule: non-coding RNA, 225 nt
Organism: Pelobates cultripes (western spadefoot toad)
Lineage: Eukaryota; Metazoa; Chordata; Amphibia; Anura; Pelobatidae
Source: the annotation of a GenBank genome assembly
GUUUAAUAUUUCAUUUUGCAGAACAGAAUGUUGCUUCUCUGACUUAUUUUAAUAGUUUUAAUAUAGUGUAUUGUUGAAAGUGCAUCAGCCACCACCCUAAAGAUGGCGCCUAGUACAGAAGGAGGUUGACCCUGCCAGUCCCGUGACCUAUCUACAGUCACGGUUGCUUCUAAAGUAACGUCACUUCCGCCCUUACCAUGCCCACACCUCCUGUCUUCCUUUCCC